GGAGGUAGAGCUCAGAUGGUAGAGUACUUGCCUUGCAUGCAUAAGGCCCUGGGAUCAAUCCCAGUACCACAA
This 72-nucleotide transfer RNA is filed under the name Ictidomys tridecemlineatus (thirteen-lined ground squirrel). RNAcentral's name for it is "Spermophilus tridecemlineatus (thirteen-lined ground squirrel) tRNA". It matches the Rfam family "tRNA". From Rfam's summary of the family: Transfer RNA (tRNA) molecules are approximately 80 nucleotides in length. Their secondary structure includes four short double-helical elements and three loops (D, anti-codon, and T loops). The record is from Rfam by way of RNAcentral. Lineage: Eukaryota; Metazoa; Chordata; Mammalia; Rodentia; Sciuridae.